AACGAACGCUGGCGGCAUGCCUAACACAUGCAAGUCGAACGAGACCUUCGGGUCUAGUGGCGCACGGGUGCGUAACGCGUGGGAACCUGCCCUUAGGUUCGGAAUAACUCCCCGAAAGGGGUGCUAAUACCGGAUAAUGUCUUCGGACCAAAGAUUUAUCGCCUUGGAUGGGCCCGCGUUGGAUUAGCUAGUUGGUAGGGUAAAAGCCUACCAAGGCGACGAUCCAUAGCUGGUCUGAGAGGAUGAUCAGCCACACUGGGACUGAGACACGGCCCAGACUCCUACGGGAGGCAGCAGUGGGGAGUAUUGGACAAUGGGCGAAAGCCUGAUCCAGCAAUGCCGCGUGAGUGAUGAAGGCCUUAGGGUUGUAAAGCUCUUUUACCCGGGAUGAUAAUGACAGUACCGGGAGAAUAAGCUCCGGCUAACUCCGUG
Molecule: ribosomal RNA, 432 nt
Filed under: uncultured bacterium
Lineage: Bacteria
Description: partial 16S ribosomal RNA
Rfam family: Bacterial small subunit ribosomal RNA
Source: RNAcentral